CUCUCUCUCUCCUCUCUCCCCUUCACUUGCUCCCUCUCCUUCACUCACUCAGUCUCUUUCCUUGCCUCCCCCUUUCCUCUCUCGCUCUGAUUUCCUCCAGCCCGUUGGAGUUGCUGUGACACUCUCUAGAUGGGUGGUUGGUGUUGAUCUCCACAGAGCUGGAGAAGAGAAGGGCCCUUCCAACUCCUCAUCCUCGGAGCGAGAUCGCCUCUCUUCUCCUCAAACAACUUGACGAUGUCGCCUCCGCCUCCCCCUUGCCGUCUGCUCCGUCGCUGCCACCCUCCAUGCCCCUACCCCCUUUGCUGGACCCAGAGGUUGAUAUGGAAACACUGGAGGUAUACACGGACGGAGAGGAUUUGAUCUCUAUGACGGCCGAGCGGCUCAGCGCGGUGAUCCAGGCCUUCUACAUGUGCUGUUCCUGUCAGAUUCCACAGGGGAAUCCAAAGAUCAUCUUUUCCACUUCCUGUUGGAAUGUCCGGAGCUAAUGUCCCGCUUCAUGCACAUAAUCAAAGGCCAGCCCUUCAAGGAGCGCUGUGAGUGGUUCUAUGAGCACCUAUUGGCAGGACAGCCAGACUCAGACAUGGUCCAUCAACCUGUCAACGAG
Long non-coding RNA from Oncorhynchus kisutch (coho salmon), 604 nucleotides. RefSeq lists it as uncharacterized. The transcript has 3 exons. Lineage: Eukaryota; Metazoa; Chordata; Actinopteri; Salmoniformes; Salmonidae. The record is from RefSeq and is a predicted model, not a curated record.